GAUGAAGAACGUAGCGAAAUGCGAUAAGUAAUGUGAAUUGCAGAAUUCAGUGAAUCAUCGAAUCUUUGAACGCACAUUGCGCCCCUUGGUAUUCCGAGGGGCAUGCCUGUUCGAGCGUCAUUAUCACCCCUCAAGCUUUGCUUGGUGUUGGGGCCUGCUGUAAUAGGCAGCCCUUAAAAUCAGUGGCGGUGCUUCAAGGCUCUAAGCGUAGUAAUUCUCCUCGCUAUAGUGUCUAGUGGUUGCCAGCCAGAACCCCCCAUUUUUUAUGAUUGACCUCGGAUCAGGUAGGGAUACCCGCUGAACUUAAGCAUAUCAAUAAGCGGAGGA
Molecule: unclassified non-coding RNA, 327 nt
Filed under: soil metagenome
Description: partial contains 5.8S ribosomal RNA, internal transcribed spacer 2, and large subunit ribosomal RNA
Rfam family: 5.8S ribosomal RNA (bases 1-120)
Source: RNAcentral